Molecule: long non-coding RNA, 2114 nt
Organism: Neopsephotus bourkii (Bourke's parrot)
Lineage: Eukaryota; Metazoa; Chordata; Aves; Psittaciformes; Psittacidae
Exons: 3
Source: RefSeq, a predicted model, not a curated record
CCUGCUGUGCUCAUCCCCUCUGGAUUUCACAAGAGAUUGUUCUAGCUCUGUGUUCUGGCCAAGGCAAGUAAGGCACGGCCAUUCUCAGUGAGUUCUGCUUUUCCCUGUGCCCUGGCAUGGCUGCAGGGCUGUUCAUGGCUUAACCACAUCCCACACUGCAUCUGCAGGGGAGCAGCAUUAAUGGCACUUCUGGUGGAAGGCUGGUCCCUGCAGCAAACUCUGAAGCACACCAGCAUCCCCCAGGCUCCUCUGUAAGAUCAUUUUUCACAAGAUCUGAUUGUGCUCAUACUUUUAGAGGGAGGAGGAAACAAAUAUGGACUUAAAUGGACUGGGUGAUAGAUUACAGUGUGGCUGAUUCCUAUUUACAUCCACUGCUAGACAUGGUGAUGUGAUCCCCUUGCACUGUAUGUGCCAGGAGUCUUCAUGGCUCAAAAACAGAGAAUACUGCAACUUCCGAAGAGACUGGAGGAUGAAAGGAAAGAUGUGUAGGAUGAAUUCCCUGUUGACAGCCAGGUCUGAAAUUACAGCUUCUAGAAAGUGAAGUGGCAUUUGGUGGCAGUGGCCCAGAAGACAACCGGUGUUUUCAGCAAGGGACUUGAAGGUGCAAAGUAGAACAUAAUUUUUGUGUUUGUAUCAACAACAACAACAAAAAAAGCCUUGACUUUGGAUUCAUGUUGUCCUUCUGUCACCUUCCCCUUGCUUUUAAAUUACCCUUGAUUGUACAACAUCUGCUCCCUUCAUGCGUGCAUAUGGCUGUCUCCUUAAAUCUGCAUUUCUGUGGAGGGGCUGCAUACAAAUACCCAGCUGAAAGUUUUCUUUCAAAGAUCUGACUAACCAGCUUGCUCUGGAAAAGCAAACUUGGCAUCAAGAUAACUGUGAAAAGCUGACAGUGUGGGAAGGGGGUACCUGUGCAGAGGAAUGGUAAUGACAAGUGUCAGACAGGGACGCUGGUGACGAUGGAAGAUGAAGCAAUCGAAGGAUCAAAACUGGCAACGACCAAAGAUGAAGCAAUUGAAGGAUCAAACCCUGCAUCUUCAGAGGGGAGGUUGUGUUUCAUUCUUGUAUUCAAAACAGAAAAUCCUCACAGAUGUGAGUCCUGGAACAUGAGAGGAAUGUCAGGUUUUUAGGUAUAUGAGAAAAACUCCUACAAUUGGCAUUCUCGGAACGUCUCCUCACCAGACAUUUGCUACCCAAAAUAAUUCCCAAAGAUUUUCAACAGAGCUCUGGGUUGCAAGUGUAUAGGAUGGCAAGGUAAAGGGUUAUCUGCUGUAGGCUCUACUUGGUAAAACGUUAUCCCUCUUUUGGUUUUGAAUCUUAAAAAAUAACCAUAUAAAAGUACAGAACUGUCCUCUGAUCAUCUCUGUCUGCUUACAAUAUGUUAUGUGGCUUGUUCUUCUGUUUUUAGGGGUAUGUUAGCUGGCUUUUAGUUUUGUGGUAGAGGAAAUACUUCCAUAUGUGUGUGGUAAAAGAAGGCUGAAUUCCAAAGCCUUGGGCAACCUGGUCUAGUGGAAGAUGUCCCUGCCCAUGGCAGAUGGUUGGGACUACAUGAUCUUAAGGUCCCUUCCAUCCCAAACCAUUCCAUGAUUCUGUGAUUUGCAGUAUGCCUGUAGGCUGCUUAUUUAACUUCUCAGUGCCUUGACCUCUACUUGACAAGUAGCUCUGUUAUCUCCUGUUCAAGUCCUUAUUUUAAGCAGUCACUGUGGCAUCUGACUGAGCUCUCUUCCUUCUUCUCUCCUGUGUGAGGUUGGAACUGGCCAAGGGAGCUUCCAGGGUCCCCUGGGAAGAGUACAGGCAAUACCUCUGUGACUGAAGAUGCUCAGCUGAGGAUGGUCGUGUCCACACAGGCAGCACCACUGUAGGACAGUGACAUCCAGCAUCUCAAGUCCUCAGACAGCAGCAUGAUGGACAGUCCUGAGGAAUGUGUGGUGAUGGAUAUAUAGUUGGAAACCCCCAGUGAUGGAUGACAGAGAAAGGGAGAGGGGGACGUUUGGUGAUUGAUCAAUAGUGGCACAACCGCAGUAUCCACAAUUAAUGGUGAACUCACAUGAAGAGGUGAUCAGAACCUGGGAGUCAAGAAGCGAUGAACAGCACCAAGGGCAGCCUGACGUGUGUCC